RNAcentral lists this ribosomal RNA (464 nucleotides) under uncultured bacterium. Its description in RNAcentral is "partial 16S ribosomal RNA". It matches the Rfam family "Bacterial small subunit ribosomal RNA", at positions 28 to 507 of the family's 1533-position model. The record is from RNAcentral.
GACGAACGCUGGCGGCGUGCUUAACACAUGCAAGUCGAACGGAAAGGCCCAGCUUGCUGGGUGCUCGAGUGGCGAACGGGUGAGUAACACGUGGGUGAUCUGCCCCUAACUUCGGGAUAAGCUUGGGAAACUGGGUCUAAUACCGGAUAGGACGAUCGUUUAGUGUCGGUUGUGGAAAGUUUUUUCGGUUAGGGAUGAGCCCGCGGCCUAUCAGCUUGUUGGUGGGGUAAUGGCCUACCAAGGCGUCGACGGGUAGCCGGCCUGAGAGGGUGGACGGCCACAUUGGGACUGAGAUACGGCCCAGACUCCUACGGGAGGCAGCAGUGGGGAAUAUUGCACAAUGGGCGCAAGCCUGAUGCAGCGACGCCGCGUGGGGGAUGACGGCCUUCGGGUUGUAAACCUCUUUCGACAGGGACGAAGCGUUGGUGACGGUACCUGUAUAAGAAGCACCGGCUAACUACGUG